AUUGAACGCUGGCGGCAGGCCUAACACAUGCAAGUCGAACGAGUGGCGGACGGGUGAGUAAUGUCUGGGAAACUGCCUGAUGGAGGGGGAUAACUACUGGAAACGGUAGCUAAUACCGCCUACCAUCGGAUGUGCCCAGAUGGGAUUAGCUAGUAGGUGGGGUAAAGGCUCACCUAGGCGACGAUCCCUAGCUGGUCUGAGAGGAUGACCAGCCACACAGGGACUGGGACCAGGGCCAGACCCCCACGGGAGGGCGGCGGUGGGAAUAUUGGACCAUGGGGGGAAGCCUGACUGCGCCUAGCCCGCUGUUAGAAGGAUGGCUUUCGGUUGUAAAGGUUUUUUCGCCGGGAAGCGUUACCCGCAGAAGAAGCACCGGCUAACUCCGUGCCAGCAGCCGCGGUAAUAC
This 406-nucleotide ribosomal RNA is filed under the name uncultured bacterium. RNAcentral's name for it is "partial 16S ribosomal RNA". It matches the Rfam family "Bacterial small subunit ribosomal RNA", at positions 30 to 526 of the family's 1533-position model. The record is from RNAcentral.